RNAcentral lists this ribosomal RNA (528 nucleotides) under uncultured bacterium. RNAcentral's name for it is "bacterial SSU rRNA". It matches the Rfam family "Bacterial small subunit ribosomal RNA", at positions 777 to 1304 of the family's 1533-position model. The record is from RNAcentral.
AAUAGAUACCCGGGUAGUCCAUGCCGUAAACGUUGGGCACUAGGUGUGGGGCUCAUUCCACGAGCUCUGUGCCGCAGCAAACGCAUUAAGUGCCCCGCCUGGGGAGUACGGCCGCAAGGCUAAAACUCAAAGAAAUUGACGGGGGCCCGCACAAGCGGCGGAGCAUGCGGAUUAAUUCGAUGCAACGCGAAGAACCUUACCAAGGCUUGACAUACACCGGAAAAGUGCAGAGAUGUGCUCCCCGUAAGGUCGGUGUACAGGUGGUGCAUGGUUGUCGUCAGCUCGUGUCGUGAGAUGUUGGGUUAAGUCCCGCAACGAGCGCAACCCUCGUCCCAUGUUGCCAGCGGGUUAUGCCGGGGACUCAUGGGAGACUGCCGGGGUCAACUCGGAGGAAGGUGGGGAUGACGUCAAAUCAUCAUGCCCCUUAUGUCUUGGGCUUCACGCAUGCUAAAAUGGCCGGUACAAAGGGCUGCGAUACCGCGAGGUGGAGCGAAUCCCAAAAACGCCGGUCUCAGUUCGGAUUGGGGU